RNAcentral lists this ribosomal RNA (1027 nucleotides) under Schizoturanius clavatipes. Its description in RNAcentral is "partial large subunit ribosomal RNA". It matches the Rfam family "Eukaryotic large subunit ribosomal RNA", at positions 129 to 762 of the family's 3401-position model. The record is from RNAcentral. Lineage: Eukaryota; Metazoa; Arthropoda; Diplopoda; Polydesmida; Polydesmidae.
CUUGGUAGGGUGCAAUGUGGUGUUUAGGAUACGUCAUUCGUGCCUUGAGCUCUGGUGUCCAAGUCCCCCUGACUGGGGCCAUCGCCCAUUGAGGGUGCAAGGCCUGUUGGGCAGGGCUGUGUCUCCUGAUUUCGGCGCGUAAGGCGUUUUCCUUGGAGUCGGGUUGCUUGAGAGUGCAGCCCAAAGUGGGUGGUAAACUCCACCUAAGGCUAAAUACUUGCCACGAGACCGAUAGCAAACAAGUACCGUGAGGGAAAGUUGCAAAGAACUUUGAAGAGAGAGUUCAAGAGUGCGUGAAACCGUCUGGAGGUAAACGGGUGGGAGCGCGAAGGUCGAACGGAUGGGGAGGGAUUCAACUUGGCGAAGCAGCUUACCGGGUGCUGUCGUGUUUGGGUGUUCUUCAAACUCUCCCUCUCGGGGGAUGAGAAUGAGUCAUCCCGCGUGGCUGCCUGUUGUAAAGUUUGUUCUGUCUUGUGCAUUUCCCUGUUCCCCCUCUCCUAGUAGGACGCUGCGACCAGCUGUUGAUGGGAGCACAGGAGUCACGGUUAGGGGAGCUGCGCGGACGAGUGUGGGAUUAGUUCUCUGCGUCUGGUCUGUCUGCCUCUUUCCAAACGGCUGUUGUUGUUCUCUCCGGCUGAGGAACUUGGUGGCGAGCUGGGCUCUUGUAGUCCCUCGUCUACUAACGUGCCUUCGAUUUUGGCGGUGCGGGUCGAAAAAACCCCACGGGUGGCAGCGGGUGGCUUUGUGCCGGUCUUUAUGAUCGCGCGUGAGGACUCCGUGCGUCAGCCGCCGUCGGUCAAGGUGCAGACUCCCGCAAGGGGCACUGGGGGUCAGCAGCGAGUAGGUCGGUUUCCCACCCGACCCGUCUUGAAACACGGACCAAGAAGUCUAACGUGUGGGCGAGUCUUCGGGGCCUAACGAACCCUUAGAAGGCGCAAUUAAAGUGAAGGCUCCAAUCUUGCCUUUAACCGGGUUUGAGGUUGGAGCUGGGGUGUGAUCCCUUGUUCCUUAGCAGGGGCGCAACACC